Non-coding RNA from Mycena latifolia, 94 nucleotides. NCBI's taxonomy places the organism in Eukaryota, Fungi, Basidiomycota, Agaricomycetes, Agaricales, Mycenaceae. The record is from the annotation of a GenBank genome assembly.
GGUCUGAUAGCGCAACUGGUUAAUGAAUCUACUCGUAUUUACGAAUUUUGGUUUUAUUCAGUGGAGGAUCCCGGUUCGAACCCGGGUUAGACCA